GGAAACGGCAUUGAGUGCUUGCACUCUUUGGACGUCGACCGGCGCACGGGUGAGUAACGCGUAUCCAACCUUCCCAUUACUGUGGGAUAACCUGCCGAAAGGCAGACUAAUACCGCAUAGUCUUCGAUGACGGCAUCAGAUUUGAAGUAAAGAUUUAUCGGUAAUGGAUGGGGAUGCGUCUGAUUAGCUUGUUGGCGGGGUAACGGCCCACCAAGGCGACGAUCAGUAGGGGUUCUGAGAGGAGGGUCCCCCACAUUGGAACUGAGACACGGUCCAAACUCCUACGGGAGGCAGCAGUGAGGAAUAUUGGUCAAUGGACGGAAGUCUGAACCAGCCAAGUAGCGUGCAGGAUGACGGCCCUAUGGGUUGUAAACUGCUUUUGUAUGGGGAUAAAGUUAGGGACGUGUCCCUAUUUGCAGGUACCAUACGAAUAAGGACCGGCUAAUUCCGUGCCAGCAGCCGCGGUAAUACGGAAGGUCCAGGCGUUAUCCGGAUUUAUUGGGUUUAAAGGGAGCGUAGGCUGGAGAUUAAGUGUGUUGUGAAAUGUAGACGCUCAACGUCUGAAUUGCAGCGCAUACUGGUUUCCUUGAGUACGCACAACGUUGGCGGAAUUCGUCGUGUAGCGGUGAAAUGCUUAGAUAUGACGAAGAACUCCGAUUGCGAAGGCAGCUGACGGGAGCGCAACUGACGCUUAAGCUCGAAGGUGCGGGUAUCAAACAGGAUUAGAUACCUGGUAGUCCGCACAGUAAACGAUGGAUGCCCGCUGUUGGUACCUGGUAUCAGCGGCUAAGCGAAAGC
RNAcentral lists this ribosomal RNA (798 nucleotides) under uncultured Bacteroidota bacterium. Its description in RNAcentral is "bacterial SSU rRNA". It matches the Rfam family "Bacterial small subunit ribosomal RNA", at positions 67 to 858 of the family's 1533-position model. Lineage: Bacteria; Pseudomonadati; Bacteroidota. The record is from RNAcentral.